RNAcentral lists this ribosomal RNA (517 nucleotides) under uncultured bacterium. RNAcentral describes it as "bacterial SSU rRNA". It matches the Rfam family "Bacterial small subunit ribosomal RNA", at positions 8 to 518 of the family's 1533-position model. The record is from RNAcentral.
AGAGUUUGAUUCUGGCUCAGGAUGAACGCUAGCGACAGGCUAACACAUGCAAGUCGAGGGGCAGCAUAGAAGUAGCAAUACUCGGUGGCGACCGGCGCACGGGUGAGUAACGCGUAUGCAACCUACCUAUCAGGAGGGGAAUAACCCGGCGAAAGUCGGACUAAUACCGCAUAAAACAGGGGCACCGCAUGGUGAUAUUUGUUAAAGAAAUUCGCUGAUAGAUGGGCAUGCGUUCCAUUAGGUAGUUGGUGAGGUAACGGCUCACCGAGCCGACGAUGGAUAGGGGAACUGAGAGGUUGGUCCCCCACACUGGUACUGAGACACGGACCAGACUCCUACGGGAGGCAGCAGUGAGGAAUAUUGGUCAAUGGGCGGGAGCCUGAACCAGCCAAGUCGCGUGAAGGAAGAAGGAUCUAUGGUUCGUAAACUUCUUUUGCAGGGGAAUAAAGUGCAGGACGUGUCCUGUUUUGUAUGUACCCUGAGAAUAAGGAUCGGCUAACUCCGUGCCAGCCGCCGC